AGAGUUUGAUCCUGGCUCAGAACGAACGCUGGCGGCGUGCUUAACACAUGCAAGUCGAACGCGAAAAUUUUCCUCGGAAAGUGAGUAGAGUGGCGCACGGGUGAGUAACGCGUAAGUUAUCUACCUCGGCAUUCGGAAUAACUCACCGAAAGGUGUGCUAAUACCGGAUACGUUGAGUAAUCAAGAAAGGUGGCCUCUGAAUAUGCUACUGUGCUGAGAUGAGCCUGCGUACCAUUAGCUAGUUGGUAGGGUAAUGGCCUACCAAGGCAACGAUGGUUAGCGGGUCUGAGAGGAUGAUCCGCCACACUGGAACUGAAACACGGACCAGACUCCUACGGGAGGCAGCAGUGAGGAAUAUUGCGCAAUGGGGGAAACCCUGACGCAGCGACGCCGCGUGGAUGAUGAAGGCCUUCGGGUUGUAAAGCUCUUUCAGCCGGGAAGAAAACGCAUGGGUUAAUACCCUGUGUGGAUGACGGUACCGGAAUAAGAAGCACCGGCUAACUACGUGCCAGCAGCCGCGGUAAUACGUAGGGUGCGAGCGUUAAUCGGAAUUACUGGGCGUAAAGCGUGCGCAGGCGGUUUGUUAAGAUAGGCGUGAAAUCCCCGGGCUCAACCUGGGAACUGCGUUUAUGACUGGCAGGCUAGAGUAUGGCAGAGGGGGGUGGAAUUCCACGUGUAGCAGUGAAAUGCGUAGAGAUGUGGAGGAACACCGAUGGCGAAGGCAGCCCCCUGGGCCAAUACUGACGCUCAUGCACGAAAGCGUGGGUAGCAAACAGGAUUAGAUACCCUGGUAGUCC
RNAcentral lists this ribosomal RNA (797 nucleotides) under uncultured bacterium. RNAcentral describes it as "bacterial SSU rRNA". It matches the Rfam family "Bacterial small subunit ribosomal RNA", at positions 8 to 796 of the family's 1533-position model. The record is from RNAcentral.